GACGAACGCUGGCGGCGUGCUUAACACAUGCAAGUCGAACGGAAAGGCCCUGCUUUUGUGGGGUAUUCGAGUUACUAGCGUGUGAGUAAGACGUGUGUAACCUGCCCUUUCCUUUGGGAUAACUUCAAUAAACUGGGGCUAAUACCUGUUAUUAGCGCCUGCAGCACGGUGUGGGUUGUAUAGUUUCGGCGGUUGGUGCUGGACUCGGGGCUUAUCAGCUUGUGGGUGGGGUAGUGGCUUAGCAAGGCUUUGACGGGUAGCCGGCCUGAGAGGGUGACCGGCCACAUUGGGCCUGAGAUACGGGCAAGACUCAUACGGGAGGCAGCAGCGAGGAACAGUGCACAAAGGGCGGAAGGCUGAUGCAGCAACGCCGGGUUCGGGAUGACGGCCUUCGGGUUGUAAACCGCUUUCGCCUGGGAUGGAGCGGGAGUGACGGUAAUGGGAAAAGAAGCACCGGCUAACUACGUG
This 468-nucleotide ribosomal RNA is filed under the name uncultured bacterium. RNAcentral describes it as "partial 16S ribosomal RNA". It matches the Rfam family "Bacterial small subunit ribosomal RNA", at positions 28 to 507 of the family's 1533-position model. The record is from RNAcentral.